UCCCCCCCAGGUACUUGCUCUCAACUGCUUAUACACACCCAUGACAGUCCAUGCUCCCUACAAGCUGUGAUACCUCCUCCACGGCCUGCCCGGCCACACAGCAGGCACACGCUUCUCACACCAACCAUCUACUAUGGCCUGCUUUGUCUCUCAGGACACCAAGGAUACAAGCUGUGUGGUUCCAGAUACCCAGCCUCUGGCAGCAAUGACUUGUCUCUGGGUUUUUGUGGCAUUAGUCUGAGGUUUUUGUGGCAUUAGUCUGGGUUUUUGUGGCAUUAGCCUGAGCAUUAGGUUUUUGUGGCAUUAGUCUGGGUUUUUGUGGCAUUAGCCUGAGCAUGGAGGUGGUGUUGUAGGGAAGAGGUGACAAGUAUUCUGGGAAGCCUGAAAGCUUAACUGUGUGGUGCCCGGACUCUCAUCUAGCACCUACAACCCCAAUGUGCUCCAUGUGGACCAUAUGAACCUCGAAGAAAGAGACUUAACAAAAGUUCCCCUACAUCUGAAGCUGCUGAGAUCCCUCCUGCACUCUCCCACUGGCAGUGUGUACUCUGCGGUAAGUAAUCUCUAUUAGAAGAACAGGAGCGAGGAGAGUCUAACACACUCACAUAGCUUCUUGUAAAGUAAUCUUUUUUCAAUCAAGUAGCACUUGCUCCUGAGGAAGCUGGACUAUAUAAACCAGCGAAACGCGUUGAGCUAUUUUGCCUGCCUUGACAUCGUCUACCACCAUUGGCAUUCUUCUGACACUCUGGCAUACCAUCAUUGGACAUUCCUACUGCAGUAUCCACCCAUUCUGGACCUUUUCCCUUAUGAUAAGGAGGAAAUUUGACCCAGCCAUUCAUUAGGUGGACAAUUUCUGCAUUCAGGAUCUCUGGUAAAUACCUCAUACCUGCAAAUUAUCGGCUUUAUGCAAAUUAACCGAUUAGUGAUGGACAUCUCCAGUGACAUUAGUACUUUCUGAGUGUCAUUAGCCGUUCAUGUGGACAUCCAAAUCAUCAACUCAGGCAUAUUGUGGCAAUUUUAAUUACUAUUUUUUAAUUUUAUUCUUUGAUUCUUAUGUGUUUUUAUAUGUGGAAUAAAUGUUUUUUUUUUAUUCA
This is a long non-coding RNA of Pseudophryne corroboree (corroboree frog), 1091 nucleotides long. RefSeq lists it as uncharacterized. The record is from RefSeq and is a predicted model, not a curated record. The transcript is spliced from 2 exons. Lineage: Eukaryota; Metazoa; Chordata; Amphibia; Anura; Myobatrachidae.